CAGCAGGUCUACUAAUGUAGUUGGCCACAAU
Molecule: non-coding RNA, 31 nt
Filed under: Rattus norvegicus (Norway rat)
Lineage: Eukaryota; Metazoa; Chordata; Mammalia; Rodentia; Muridae
Source: RNAcentral